Molecule: ribosomal RNA, 253 nt
Filed under: uncultured bacterium
Lineage: Bacteria
Description: partial 16S ribosomal RNA
Rfam family: Bacterial small subunit ribosomal RNA
Source: RNAcentral
UACGUAGGGCUCAAGCGUUAUCCGGAAUUAUUGGGCGUAAAGAGCUCGUAGGCGGUUUGUCGCGUCUGCUGUGAAAUCCCGAGGCUCAACCUCGGGUCUGCAGUGGGUACGGGCAGACUAGAGUGCGGUAGGGGAGAUUGGAAUUCCUGGUGUAGCGGUGGAAUGCGCAGAUAUCAGGAGGAACACCGAUGGCGAAGGCAGAUCUCUGGGCCGUAACUGACGCUGAGGAGCGAAAGGGUGGGGAGCAAACAGG